AGUUUGAUCCUGGCUCAGGAUGAACGCUGGCGGCGUGCCUAAUACAUGCAAGUCGAACGAAUCUCUUUUAGAGAUGAGUGGCGAACGGGUGAGUAAUACAUAGGUAACCUGCCCCUGCGCGGGGGAUAACAGGAGGAAACUCCUGCUAAUACCGCAUAGCCAUGAGCACCGCAUGGAGCUCAUGCCAAAUAUCCUUUCGGGGAUAGCGCAGGGAUGGACCUAUGGCGCAUUAGCUGGUUGGCGGGGCAACGGCCCACCAAGGCAACGAUGCGUAGCCGGCCUGAGAGGGCGGACGGCCACAUUGGGACUGAGACACGGCCCAGACUCCUACGGGAGGCAGCAGUAGGGAAUUUUCGGCAAUGGGGGAAACCCUGACCGAGCAACGCCGCGUGAGCGAAGAAGGCCUUCGGGUCGUAAAGCUCUGUUGUAAAGGAAGAACGGCGCAUACAGGAAAUGGUAUGCGAGUGACGGUACUUUACCAGAAAGCCACGGCUAACUACGUGCCAGCAGCCGCGGUAAUACGUAGGUGGCGAGCGUUAUCCGGAAUCAUUGGGCGUAAAGAGGGAGCAGGCGGCCGCAAGGGUCUGUGGUGAAAGACCGAAGCUAAACUUCGGUAAGCCAUGGAAACCGGGCGGCUAGAGUGCGGAAGAGGAUCGUGGAAUUCCAUGUGUAGCGGUGAAAUGCGUAGAUAUAUGGAGGAACACCAGUGGCGAAGGCGACGGUCUGGGCCGCAACUGACGCUCAUUCCCGAAAGCGUGGGGAGCAAAUAGGAUUAGAUACCCUAGUAGUCCACGCCGUAAACGAUGGUCACUAAGUGUCGGGGGUCAAACCCCGGUGCUGCAGUCAACGCAAUAAGUGACCCGCCUGAGUAGUACGUUCGCAAGAAUGAAACUCAAAGGAAUUG
Molecule: ribosomal RNA, 904 nt
Filed under: uncultured bacterium
Lineage: Bacteria
Description: bacterial SSU rRNA
Rfam family: Bacterial small subunit ribosomal RNA
Source: RNAcentral